Molecule: ribosomal RNA, 550 nt
Filed under: uncultured bacterium
Lineage: Bacteria
Description: bacterial SSU rRNA
Rfam family: Bacterial small subunit ribosomal RNA
Source: RNAcentral
UAGGGAAUCUUCGGCAAUGGACGGAAGUCUGACCGAGCAACGCCGCGUGAGUGAAGAAGGUUUUCGGAUCGUAAAGCUCUGUUGUAAGAGAAGAACGAGUGUGAGAGUGGAAAGUUCACACUGUGACGGUAUCUUACCAGAAAGGGACGGCUAACUACGUGCCAGCAGCCGCGGUAAUACGUAGGUCCCGAGCGUUGUCCGAAUUUAUUGGGCGUAAAGCGAGCGCAGGCGGUUAGAUAAGUCUGAAGUUAAAGGCUGUGGCUUAACCAUAGUAGGCUUUGGAAACUGUUUAACUUGAGUGCAAGAGGGGAGAGUGGAAUUCCAUGUGUAGCGGUGAAAUGCGUAGAUAUAUGGAGGAACACCGGUGGCGAAAGCGGCUCUCUGGCUUGUAACUGACGCUGAGGCUCGAAAGCGUGGGGAGCAAACAGGAUUAGAUACCCUGGUAGUCCACGCUGUAAACGAUGAGUGCUAGGUGUUAGACCCUUUCCGGGGUUUAGUGCCGUAGCUAACGCAUUAAGCACUCCGCCUGGGGAGUACGACCGCAAGGUUG